CUAGGUCCGUCCGUACCUUACCACUUGCAUGAAGAGCAAACUGUAUGUAAACUACUCAUUUCGUACUGACGGCAUUCCUAAAUGGUUCAGCAAUAACAAAGACACACAAAGGUUGGUAGCAUGGAAUCGCACAUGUGGAUUCUCAAUUCCACAGGCGCUAAUAAUAUCAAAUGCUAAGAGAGUUCAAAUAAAACAAUUUGUGUCCAUGCCCAAUGUGCAACAUUAUCGCAUACUUGGCCGCAUUGAGAAAAUAUACGUACGAAGAACACCUAUGGAUUUAUAAAUGCAAGAUGUGCUUUAGGAAAGUUGAAAAUCAGUAUGGUUGAUUUGUCAGUAGUCAAUGCGGAAAAGAAGAUGUGG
Rhododendron vialii is the source of this 360-nucleotide long non-coding RNA. RefSeq lists it as uncharacterized. Lineage: Eukaryota; Viridiplantae; Streptophyta; Magnoliopsida; Ericales; Ericaceae. The record is from RefSeq and is a predicted model, not a curated record. The transcript is spliced from 3 exons.